AGUGGGAUGGCACACCCCUGUAAUCCUUGCUACUAGGGAGCCUACAGCUGGUGCAUCAGUUGAGUUUAGGAGUUCUGAGAGGCAGUGGGCUAAGGUAUCAGGUGUCACCAGUAAAUCUAGCACCAACAGAGUGGUAAGAGCCUGGGUUCAGGGAGCCAUCAGCCUAUCUAAGAGGAUCAAACUGCCCAGGUUGGAAAUGGAGCAGGUCAAAGCUCCUCUGCUAACCAGUGGUGGCUUGUGAGUGGCCACUGUCCUUCUAGGCUGGGUGAGAGAGGGAAACCCAGCAUU
RNAcentral lists this non-coding RNA (288 nucleotides) under Phascolarctos cinereus (koala). The record is from RNAcentral. Lineage: Eukaryota; Metazoa; Chordata; Mammalia; Diprotodontia; Phascolarctidae.